CGGACGGGUGAGUAACACGUGGAUAACCUACCUAUAAGACUGGGAUAACUUCGGGAAACCGGAGCUAAUACCGGAUAAUAUAUUGAACCGCAUGGUUCAAUAGUGAAAGACGGUUUUGCUGUCACUUAUAGAUGGAUCCGCGCUGCAUUAGCUAGUUGGUAAGGUAACGGCUUACCAAGGCAACGAUGCGUAGCCACCUGAGAGGGUGAUCGGCCACACUGGAACUGAGACACGGUCCAGACUCCUACGGGAGGCAGCAGUC
RNAcentral lists this ribosomal RNA (262 nucleotides) under uncultured Staphylococcus sp. RNAcentral's name for it is "partial 16S ribosomal RNA". It matches the Rfam family "Bacterial small subunit ribosomal RNA", at positions 99 to 355 of the family's 1533-position model. The record is from RNAcentral. Lineage: Bacteria; Bacillati; Bacillota; Bacilli; Caryophanales; Staphylococcaceae.